Molecule: non-coding RNA, 27 nt
Filed under: Mus musculus (house mouse)
Lineage: Eukaryota; Metazoa; Chordata; Mammalia; Rodentia; Muridae
Source: RNAcentral
UACCUUGAUUGGUCAGCUCUAUCUCGG